GACGAACGCUGGCGGCGUGCUUAACACAUGCAAGUCGAACGGAAAGGCCCUGCUUUUGUGGGGUGCUCGAGUGGCGAACGGGUGAGUAACACGUGAGUAACCUGCCCUUGACUUUGGGAUAACUUCAGGAAACUGGGGCUAAUACCGGAUAGGAGCUCCUGCUGCAUGGUGGGGGUUGGAGAGUUUCGGCGGUUGGGGAUGGACUCGCGGCUUAUCAGCUUGUUGGUGGGGUAGUGGCUUACCAAGGCUUUGACGGGUAGCCGGCCUGAGAGGGUGACCGGCCACAUGGGGACUGAGAUACGGCCCAGACUCCUACGGGAGGCAGCAGUGGGGAAUAUUGCACAAUGGGCGGAAGCCUGAUGCAGCAACGCCGCGUGCGGGAUGACGGCCUUCGGGUUGUAAACCGCUUUCGCCUGUGACGAAGCGUGAGUGACGGUAAUGGGUAAAGAAGCAACGGCUAACUACGUG
RNAcentral lists this ribosomal RNA (468 nucleotides) under uncultured bacterium. RNAcentral's name for it is "partial 16S ribosomal RNA". It matches the Rfam family "Bacterial small subunit ribosomal RNA", at positions 28 to 507 of the family's 1533-position model. The record is from RNAcentral.